This 411-nucleotide ribosomal RNA is filed under the name bacterium enrichment culture clone ALO1_GLFRUDD03HI9KJ. RNAcentral's name for it is "bacterial SSU rRNA". It matches the Rfam family "Bacterial small subunit ribosomal RNA", at positions 9 to 424 of the family's 1533-position model. The record is from RNAcentral.
GAGUUUGAUCGUGGCUCAGAUUGAACGCUGGCGGCAUGCCUUACACAUGCAAGUCGAACGGCAGCACGGGAGCUUGCUCCUGGUGGCGAGUGGCGAACGGGUGAGUAAUGCAUCGGAACGUAUCCUGGAGUGGGGGAUAACGUAGCGAAAGUUACGCUAAUACCGCAUAUUCUGUGAGCAGGAAAGCGGGGGACCUUCGGGCCUCGCGCUCUUGGAGCGGCCGAUGUCGGAUUAGCUAGUUGGUGAGGUAAAGGCUCACCAAGGCGACGAUCCGUAGCAGGUCUGAGAGGAUGAUCUGCCACACUGGAACUGAGACACGGUCCAAACUCCUACGGGAGGCAGCAGUGGGAAUUUUGGACAAUGGGGCAACCCUGAUCCAGCCAUGCCGCGUGAGUGAAGAAGGCCUCGGUU